RNAcentral lists this transfer RNA (20 nucleotides) under Catomerus polymerus. RNAcentral's name for it is "partial tRNA-Ile". Lineage: Eukaryota; Metazoa; Arthropoda; Thecostraca; Balanomorpha; Catophragmidae. The record is from RNAcentral.
UUUUUAUCAGGCAUCUUAUU